This 405-nucleotide ribosomal RNA is filed under the name uncultured bacterium. RNAcentral's name for it is "bacterial SSU rRNA". It matches the Rfam family "Bacterial small subunit ribosomal RNA", at positions 354 to 776 of the family's 1533-position model. The record is from RNAcentral.
GUUGGGAAUCUUGGACAAUGGGGGAAACCCUGAUCCAGCCAUGCCGCGUGAGUGAUGAAGGCCUUCGGGUUGUAAAACUCUUUCGACGGGGACGAUAAUGACGGUACCCGUAGAAGAAGCUCCGGCUAACUUCGUGCCAGCAGCCGCGGUAAUACGAAGGGGGCUAGCGUUGUUCGGAAUUACUGGGCGUAAAGCGCGCGCAGGCGGUCUUCCAAGUCAGUGGUGAAAGCCUGGAGCUCAACUCCAGAACUGCCAUUGAAACUGUUAGACUUGAGUACGAGAGAGGUGAGUGGAAUUCCCAGUGUAGAGGUGAAAUUCGUAGAUAUUGGGAAGAACACCAGUGGCGAAGGCGGCUCACUGGCUCGUAACUGACGCUCAGGCGCGACAGCGUGGGGAUCAAACAGG